This 614-nucleotide ribosomal RNA is filed under the name uncultured archaeon. RNAcentral describes it as "bacterial SSU rRNA". It matches the Rfam family "Archaeal small subunit ribosomal RNA", at positions 1 to 617 of the family's 1478-position model. The record is from RNAcentral.
UCCGGUUGAUCCUGCCGGAGGCCACUGCUAUGGGGGUCCGACUAAGCCAUGCGAGUCAUGGGGCGCCUUGCGCGCACCGGCGAACGGCUCAGUAACACGUGGCUAACCUACCCUCGGGUGGGGGAUAACCUCGGGAAACUGAGGCUAAUCCCCCAUAGGGGAGGAGGUCUGGAAUGAUCCCUCCCCGAAAGGCGUAAGCCGCCCGAGGAUGGGGCUGCGGCGGAUUAGGUAGUUGGUGGGGUAAUGGCCCACCAAGCCUACGAUCCGUACGGGCCCUGAGAGGGGGGGCCCGGAGAUGGACACUGAGACACGGGUCCAGGCCCUACGGGGCGCAGCAGGCGCGAAACCUCCGCAAUGCGCGAAAGCGCGACGGGGGGACCCCGAGUGCCCUGCCUCUGGCAGGGCUUUUCCGGAGUGUAAACAGCUCCGGGAAUAAGGGCUGGGCAAGUCCGGUGCCAGCAGCCGCGGUAAUACCGGCGGCCCAAGUGGUGGCCACUGUUAUUGGGCCUAAAGCGUCCGUAGCCGGCCCGGUAAGUCUCUGCUUAAAUCCCGCGGCUUAACCGCGGGGCUGGCAGAGAUACUGCCGGGCUUGGGACCGGGAGAGGCCGGGGGUA